Long non-coding RNA from Oncorhynchus keta (chum salmon), 4678 nucleotides. RefSeq lists it as uncharacterized. The record is from RefSeq and is a predicted model, not a curated record. The transcript is spliced from 2 exons. NCBI's taxonomy places the organism in Eukaryota, Metazoa, Chordata, Actinopteri, Salmoniformes, Salmonidae.
GUGUGUGUGUGUGUGUGUGUGCGUGUGCGUGUGUGUGUGUGUGUGCGUGCGUGGGGGUGGGUAGGUGUAUGCGUGAGAGAGUUAAGACACAGGAUCAGGGUAAAUCUGCUCCCUAACAGCUAUAUAUUAGCAUCCCAAAACAACAGCAUAUCAACACUUCUGAAGAUGCCAAUUAGUUAAGUCACGCACAAACACCCUAUUUAGCAAAGAAUUCCUCUAUAUUUACUGUACACUCAGGGUCAGCUAGGACAUUGGUAACUUGUGACUUCAAGUCCCUGACUGUACUUACAGCAUUAGGCAGUCAGGUAUUUUGCUCUGUUGGGAAUUGGAUAUUUGGGAUGUUUUAUGAUCCUUUGGAGAUGGGGGUGGUAUGUAGUGCUAGAGUUGUUAGAGUUGCAGAAAUGUAGCUGCAAAGUUGCUAGUUGGAAUCCUUGGCUGAGCACUUAAGAGAACCGGGGACUUCUAUACACACUCCUAAUCUCCUUGUUAUAGAGCAACUACUCCACCUCCCCUGGCCAGGACAGCUGACAUGCUUUGACAAUGUCACCCUCAAGUCCCAACAACAAAAGACCUUAGCAUCUUUUUGCCCCUCUCUCCUUGCUGGCAUGGUGAUCGUGGCAGUAAAUCGCACAGUCAGACAUGCUCCCUUCCUCCCUCUCUUUUUUUCCACAACACAGCUGGGAGAAAAGGGAGGGAGACGAAAACAUCCCAACAGACGUGUGUGAAAUCCCGAGAGAGGAAUCACUGUGACCAGAAGGAGAGAAAGGGGGAAGAAAAGGAAAGAAAAGGAAAUGGAGGAAUUAUAGAAAAGCAAGCGGGGCUCUGGGGCCAGUUUGUGAAUAUUGCUCAACGUGAAUUUGGCCGUCGCUUCACACUGAGCUAUUGAAUCACAGAACAACCGGAACAUUUCAAUAUGAAAGAUUCUUAGAAGCUGCUAAGCUCCAAUUCAUGUGGGGGUGUUUUCUGAUUCCCGGUUCUAUUCUUAUCAUUUAAUUUCUCUGCUUUGCUUUGAAUACGUCCUUAUUCACGUUGGAUUUGCGUCUGUGUGUACGGGAUAGGGAAUGGAGUGGAGUGUUUUAUAAAAGGAGCAAUUCCAGGUUAACUACAGGGAAUUAAACACCUAGUUGCAUCCUGUAGCUCACAGAAUACUGGUAGAUUCACCAACCCAAAGAACCUGGAGUUCACUCUCUCUCAGGACUAGGAAUAUGUGUGUUUGAGUGGUUUAAAUAGGGUAGAGUAGGGUAAGUUGAGCCCUUUUUUUACAUUCAGCAUCACUUCGUUAACCUCUUGAAGCUAGGGGCACUAUUUUCAUGUUUAGGAUAUAUUAGGAUAGAAAACACUCUAAAGUUUCCAAAACUGUCAAAAUAUUGUCUGUGAGUAUAACAGAACUGAUAUUGCAGGCAAAACCCUGAGGAAAAUCCAAUCAGGAAGUGCCUCUUAUUUUGAAAGCUUUCUGUUCCUAUGCAUGUCUAUCCUCCAUUUAAAGGGAUAUCAACCAGAUUCAUUUUUCUAUGGCUUCCCUAAGGUGACAACAGUCUUUAGACAUAGUUUGAUAGGUGGGGGCUCUCAGAGUGAGUUAUUGCGCUACAGAGUAAAGCCGCCAUUGUUCCUCCCGCUGUUAUUGAAAAACCUACACACUCGGUUGAUAUAUUAUCAAAUAUAUAUUUUAAAAACUACCUGAGGAAUGAUUAUAAAAAAACGUUUGACAUGUUUCUGUGGACAUUAUGAAGACCAUUUGGAAUUUCCGUCUGCGUUGUCAUGACCGCUCUUUCCUGUGGAUUCCUGAACAUAAUGCGAUAAACAAACGGAGGUAUUUUGGGUAUAAAAAUAAUCUUUAUGGAACAAAAGGAACAUUUGUUGUGUAACUGGGUCUCGUGAGUGAAAACAUCCGAAGAUCAUCAAAGGUCAACGGUUAAUUUGAUUGCUUUUCUGAUUUUCGUGACCAAGCUUCCUGAUGCUAAGUGUACAUAAUGCUAUGCUCGGCUAUCGAUAAACUUACACAAACGCUUGGAUUGCUUUCGCUGUAAAGCAUCAUUUCAAAAUCUGAGACGACAGGUGAAUUAACAAAAGGCUAAGCUGUGUUUCGCAAUAUUGCACUUGUGAUUUCAUGAAUAUGAAUAUUUUUUAUCAAUAUUAUUUGACAACUCAAUAUUAGGAAGCUGUGCCUAAUGUUUUGUACACUUAGUGUAUAUUUUGGGAUGUUGUGUAUCCCUGGAAAUAAUCGGAAUUCAUGUAAACAUUACAGUUUUGAAAACAUAGCUUGUCCAAAAAAAGUGGUCACUUGGUACAAGAUACCCCAGGUGUGGGGUAAGUUGAGCUGCGGGACAGGGUAAGUUAAGCUGUGUGGGGUAAGUUGAGCUGCGGGACAGGGUAAGUUAAGCUGCUCACAAAUUCUUGUACUGAAUGAAAUAAUACCACUACCUUUUUAAAACACAUUUCAUUUCAAUACAAUCACAAUCGCUUUUUGUCUUUUAAGCAUUUUAAGCAUCUUUUAACACAGGCUUAACACCUAACAAACAACUUGUACUUUUCUUAACACUUUUAAAAUAGGCCAGACCCUGUUGUUACCUCAUAUGCUAGCAAUAAUGGGAACAAAACACUUAAAUUUGCUCAACUUGCUAUUGGCUCAACGAUGGGCUCAACUUACCCCAAGGUAAACACAUUUUGACUACAAGGAUGCACUUUCAUGCUUGAUUUAGGACCUCAUAUUGAAGCUUAUAGAGACCACAACUGCUGUACAAGUAUAAAACAAUCUUAAAAUGAUCAACUUCGGUUGAUCCUCUAUCUCAGUAAAUUCAUUUGACUUGGUGAAAAUAUAUAUAUAUAUUUUUUUUACCUAACUUGCUUAUUACUUUUUCUAUGUGGUUUCUUCCUUCAUAUACUCCAUGAAAUGAUGACCUGUUCCUAAAUAUUUGGUCAAAUUAUAGAUUGUGUGCAUGAUUUCCUAGAAACAAGGGUAACUCACACACACGCACACACACGCACACACACACACACACACACACACACACACACACACACACACACACACACACACACACACACACACACACACACACACACACACACACACACAGCUGAUUUUACAUUAGCCCCCUCCCGAAUGAGACAAAUGCAACAAAAGUCUAACUUUGGGGGGGUCUCUAAUAAUCCAUCAUUUUGUUUAAAAUGCUACUUUGUACUUCAACAGUGGUAAAUAUGAAAUGUUAAAAGCGUAUUCCAAAUUAAACAAGCACCCCCGCCUCUCAAGGUUUAAACCAGUGAAAGUUAGUUCAGGGUCUUUGAAUCGCGUUAAUCUCUCUAAAUGACUUAAAUGUAAUGUAAAAUGUACUCUGCCAGUCUGCCUUUCUAUCUGUCUGUCUUUCGCCAGCAAAUUUGCAACAUUGUAUCGACUGGAUCUAGCCAGCUAGUGAACCUGCAACAUUAUCAACUGGGUCCAGCCCGCUACCGAACUUGAAACAGCUCGAUGAGCGCAGGACAGACACCGCUGUAUUUGCAUUCCAUAUUUCAGCCCCUUUUCAGGUGUCCCAACUUUUCUUCUAUUCUUCAAGAGUGAAUGUGGUGCCGGAGAAGGACUGUUGUCUAUUCUGCUAUCACAGGGGUUGGGUUAAAUGCUGAAGACACAUUUCAAUUCCAUGCAAUCGGUUGUGAAACUGACUCGGUAUCCCCUUUCCCUUCAAAUAUGGCAGACAGGACCUGAAGGUCAGGGACUUAGAGAGUAUAGAGAGGUCAUUCUACCUGGCCGUGGGUUGUAUGGGUAGCAGAGGGCUGCAGGUGGACCAGUGGGAAUGACAGACUGCACAUCUGUCACGUUAAGAGACAGAGACAACCUUGACACUCUCAGAAUUCCGUUUUCCAGAGUGGUGUGCAGUCAAUUGGGUUGUACCGUGGCGGAGAUCUUUGUGGGCUAUACUCGGCCUUGUCUCAGGAUGGACAUGAGCCCUAGGACCAUGCCCCAGGACUACCUGACAUGAUGACUCCUUGCUGUCCCCAGUCCACCUGGCCAUGCUGCUGCUCCAGUUUCAACUGGCCUGGGCCCUAGGACCAUGUCCCAGGACUACCUGACAUGAUGACUCCUUGCUGUCCCCAGUCCACCUGGCCAUGCUGCUGCUCCAGUUUCAACUGUUCUGCCUUACUAUUAUUCAACCAUGCUGGUCAUUUAUGAACAUUUGAACAUCUUGGCCACGUUCUGUUAUAAUCUCCACCCGGCACAGCCAGAAGAGCUCUGGCCACCCCACAUAUGCUCUCUCUAAUUCUCUCUUUCUUUCUCUCUCUCGGAGGACCUGAGCCCUAGGACCGUGCCCCAGGACUACCUGACAUGAUGGCUCCUUGCUGUCCCCAGUCCACCUGACUGUGCUGCUGCUCCAGUUUCAACUGUUCUGCCUUAUUAUUAUUCGACCAUGCUGGUCAUUUAUGAACAUUUGAACAUCUUGGUCAUGUUCUGUUAUAAUCUCUACCCGGCACAGCCAGAAGAGGACUGGCCACCCCACAUAGCCCGGUUCCUCUCUAGGUUUCUUCCUAGGUUUUGGCCUUUCUAGGGAGUUUUUCCUAGCCACCGUGCUUUUACACCUGCAUUGUUUGCUGUUUGGGGUUUUAGGCUGGGUUUCUGUACAGCACUUUGAGAUAUCAGCUGAUGUACGAAGGGCUAUAUAAAUAAAUUCGAUUUGAUUUGAUUUGA